Protopterus annectens (West African lungfish) is the source of this 702-nucleotide long non-coding RNA. RefSeq lists it as uncharacterized. The transcript is spliced from 3 exons. Lineage: Eukaryota; Metazoa; Chordata; Ceratodontiformes; Protopteridae. The record is from RefSeq and is a predicted model, not a curated record.
CGCUUCCAAGUGUUCCAAGAAAAUUUCAUGUUAUUCUGAGCUCUGACUAGGGAACCAAGAUCCUGUGCUCAUCUUCUAUUGCAAACAACUAGUCUGAGAGGCAAGCUGGGUUGCCUUUGGAAAGAUGAAGCCAUUAUUUAGUCAGAAAUGCUCCAUAAACAGUACCGUUUCGGUAUCUGAUUGAAAAGUGGAUGCUAAAUAUAGAUACCUGAGUAAAAGAAACAAGCUGGGUGGACAUAUGUACUGUACACAGCAUUUUGGAUACUGUUUGUACCCAAUAAACAGGCUGAUGGAGUUUGCUUUUACAUCUUAUUGCGGAGGCGUAAAACUCUACAUGCUGCGGGGGCAUUAAUAGCUAACAGAAUCGCAAAGUCUUUGUCAGCACUGCUGUGCACAUAACAAUAAAGUACUAAGUGCAUAACAACGCUAAAUGGUAUUUCGGUACUUUUGGGGUGGCAAAUGUUAACAGAUGUCCUGCAACUGAUGCAGUGAACGUGGUGUGAGAAGCACCCACAGACUUGUAAUAAUACAAGGUAAAUUAUGCAGUCAUAAGUUGCUGAAAAAAUGGAUUUCCGUAGUGGCUUCAGCUUAUUUUGGAUAUUUUUCACUAUGGCCCCCACGAUUACAGGAUUUGACUGCAGGCCUGGCUGCAACCCUGUGAAUGGAUACUGUGAGCAAUCUGGAGAAUGCAGGUACAGUAAG